Molecule: ribosomal RNA, 547 nt
Filed under: uncultured bacterium
Lineage: Bacteria
Description: partial 16S ribosomal RNA
Rfam family: Bacterial small subunit ribosomal RNA
Source: RNAcentral
UGGGGAAUAUUGCACAAUGGGCGCAAGCCUGAUGCAGCCAUGCCGCGUGUGUGAAGAAGGCCUUCGGGUUGUAAAGCACUUUCAGCGAGGAGGAAGGUGGUGAACUUAAUACGUUCAUCAAUUGACGUUACUCGCAGAAGAAGCACCGGCUAACUCCGUGCCAGCAGCCGCGGUAAUACGGAGGGUGCAAGCGUUAAUCGGAAUUACUGGGCGUAAAAGCGCACGCAGGCGGUUUGUUAAGUCAGAUGUGAAAUCCCCGGGCUCAACCUGGGAACUGCAUUUGAAACUGGCAAGCUAGAGUCUCGUAGAGGGGGGUAGAAUUCCAGGUGUAGCGGUGAAAUGCGUAGAGAUCUGGAGGAAUACCGGUGGCGAAGGCGGCCCCCUGGACGAAGACUGACGCUCAGGUGCGAAAAGCGUGGGGAGCAAAACAGGAUUAGAUACCCUGGUAGUCCACGCUGUAAAACGAUGUCGAUUUUGGAGGUUGUGCCCUUGAGGCGUGGCUUCCGGAGCUAACGCGUUAAAUCGACCGCCUGGGGAGUACGGCCGC